Molecule: ribosomal RNA, 495 nt
Filed under: Megasphaera geminata
Lineage: Bacteria; Bacillati; Bacillota; Negativicutes; Veillonellales; Veillonellaceae
Description: bacterial SSU rRNA
Rfam family: Bacterial small subunit ribosomal RNA
Source: RNAcentral
GACGAACGCUGGCGGCGUGCGUAACACAUGCAAGUCGAACGAGAGAGUGAGAGAAGCUUGCUUUUCUUACGAUCGAGUGGCAAACGGGUGAGUAACGCGUAAACAACCUGCCCCGCAGAUGGGGACAACAGCUGGAAACGGCUGCUAAUACCGAAUACGGUCCUCUUAGCGCAUGGUAAGAGGAAGAAAGGGUGGCCUCUGGAACAAGCUACCGCUGUGGGAGGGGUUUGCGUCUGAUUAGCUGGUUGGAGGGGUAACGGCCCACCAAGGCGACGAUCAGUAGCCGGUCUGAGAGGAUGAACGGCCACAUUGGAACUGAGACACGGUCCAGACUCCUACGGGAGGCAGCAGUGGGGAAUCUUCCGCAAUGGGCGAAAGCCUGACGGAGCAACGCCGCGUGAGUGAAGACGGCCUUCGGGUUGUAAAGCUCUGUUAUAGGGGACGAACGGCCGGGUAGCGAAGAGUACCCGGCAGGACGUACCUAAGAGAAGCCCC